GCCUGGCUGGCUUAGUCAGCAGAGCAUGUGACUGUUCAUCUCAAGGUCGUGAGUUCAAGUCCCGCGUGGGGUU
This 73-nucleotide transfer RNA is filed under the name Ailuropoda melanoleuca (giant panda). It matches the Rfam family "tRNA". Rfam says of the family: Transfer RNA (tRNA) molecules are approximately 80 nucleotides in length. Lineage: Eukaryota; Metazoa; Chordata; Mammalia; Carnivora; Ursidae. The record is from Rfam by way of RNAcentral.